GGUUUCUUACCAGUUUCACUUGUCAGUUGUCAGUUGUCAAUUGACUAUUCUAGACGUCGAAUGGGAAAUAAAAAUUCACCACGUCAAACUUUGUAAGAAUUUCUUGAAAUUCUUGAGUUCAUACAUGGAUCUGGAAAAAAAGUGAGGACGUGCCAUUCCCAGCACGUGGUCGUUCCUGGUCGAUGAUUACCAAAUUCAUCUCGAAAUAUACCUCGCUUACCACAUGUGCAGGACGACUCCAUGAAGAAGGAAAUGAAUUUUUUUCUUUUUGUGGACUGAUCUUAAUCUACCAGAUGUGGGAAAGUCGCAUAAAAUCUUUUUGUAGAUUAAAAAUGAUGAGAGCCAUCCCAUUCUUCAAGUUGUACCUCAGUAUGUGAGGGGUUAUUAAAAUCUACACUACCUGUGCAGGAAGACUCCAUAGGAAAGGUUGUUCCAUAUACGGUAUUGCAGUGAAGUUCUAACUACCAUCCUACUUGCGGUUUUUUAAUUUAAUGGUACGUCAAUAAGCUGCUGUGGAGUGUUUUUUGUUAUGGCACACUCCUUUUGUCAAUAUUUACCCCGUAUCGAUGUUUCCUGUGUCAAAUGGCGUUAUUAUUUUUUUUAUUAUUAUUUAUUAUUUAAUAAAAGAAAAUAACUGUAACAAAUACAACUACUAGCAUGUUUCCCGAUUUAGGAGCUUGAUAACAAAGCUACUGAAUGUUUUUCAUCUGUAAUUUCUUUCAUGUUUAACCAUAUUUUCUGUGACCAGAGAUGAAAACAACUUGCUGCUUUUUUGAGAAGAAUAAGAAUGGAGGUUGAAUAUUUUAAAUAUUAACUGUAAAUAAAUAUUAAAAUGAAGAAAA
This 842-nucleotide long non-coding RNA is filed under the name Daphnia pulex (common water flea). Its description in RNAcentral is "uncharacterized LOC124198017, transcript variant X1". The record is from RNAcentral. Lineage: Eukaryota; Metazoa; Arthropoda; Branchiopoda; Diplostraca; Daphniidae.